CUUCUUUCAUAACAACUUCUUCUUCGGUAUCUUUUUCUCCUCCACCAUUGACCAUCAAACACGAAGCAAACUCCACAUCAUCAAUUUGACCAUCACCAUCGACAUCAAGAACUAUAAACAUCUUAUCAAUUUCUUCUGAUGUUAUUUGAGGAGAAAAAACGCGAAUCGCCUCUGCGAAUUCGUCCCAUAAAAUUUUUCCAUCUUUGUUUUUGUCAACACUUUCGAAAAUCUCUGCCAUAGACAUUGAAUGAGUAAUAUUAUGGUGAUAGAUAUUGAAUUUUUGUUUGUGAGAAAGUCAAAACCUUAGUAUUUAU
This 314-nucleotide small RNA is filed under the name Arabidopsis thaliana (thale cress). Its description in RNAcentral is "ATSL120540". Lineage: Eukaryota; Viridiplantae; Streptophyta; Magnoliopsida; Brassicales; Brassicaceae. The record is from RNAcentral.